UACGUAGGGGCGAGCGUUGUCCGGAAUGAUUGGGCGUAAAGGGCGCGUAGGCGGCUGUGCAAGUCAGUAGUGGAAGCCCAGCUUUUAAGGUUGGAAGUGCUAUUGAAACUGUGCAGCUUGAGUGCAGGAGAGGUUAUCGGAAUUCCCGGUGUAGCGGUGAAAUGCGUAGAUAUUAGGAGGAACACCAGUAGCGAAGGCGGCUCUCUGGACUGUAACUGACGCUGAGGCACGAAAGCGUGGGGAGCAAACAGGAUUAGAUACCCCGGUA
RNAcentral lists this ribosomal RNA (268 nucleotides) under uncultured prokaryote. RNAcentral describes it as "partial 16S ribosomal RNA". It matches the Rfam family "Bacterial small subunit ribosomal RNA", at positions 524 to 792 of the family's 1533-position model. The record is from RNAcentral.